ACGGGUGAGUAAUGUCUGGGGAUCUGCCCGAUAGAGGGGGAUAACCACUGGAAACGGUGGCUAAUACCGCAUAACGUCGCAAGACCAAAGAGGGGGACCUUCGGGCCUCUCACUAUCGGAUGAACCCAGAUGGGAUUAGCUAGUAGGCGGGGUAACGGCCCACCUAGGCGACGAUCCCUAGCUGGUCUGAGAGGAUGGCCAGCCACACUGGAACUGAGACACGGUCCAGACUCCUACGGGAGGCAGCAGUGGGGAAUAUUGCACAAUGGGCGCAAGCCUGAUGCAGCCAUGCCGCGUGUAUGAAGAAGGCCUUCGGGUUGUAAAGUACUUUCAGCGGGGAGGAAGGCGAUAAGGUUAAUAACCUUGUCGAUUGACGUUACCCGCAGAAGAAGCACCGGCUAACUCCGUGCCAGCAGCCGCGGUAAUACGGAGGGUGCAAGCGUUAAUCGGAAUUACUGGGCGUAAAGCGCACGCAGGCGGUCUGUUAAGUCAGAUGUGAAAUCCCCGGGCUUAACCUGGGAACUGCAUUUGAAACUGGCAGGCUUGAGUCUCGUAGAGGGGGGUAGAAUUCCAGGUGUAGCG
RNAcentral lists this ribosomal RNA (582 nucleotides) under uncultured bacterium. RNAcentral's name for it is "bacterial SSU rRNA". It matches the Rfam family "Bacterial small subunit ribosomal RNA", at positions 102 to 680 of the family's 1533-position model. The record is from RNAcentral.